CGGGACGGGUGAGUAAUGUCUGGGAAACGUGCCUGAUGGAGGGGGAUAACUACUGGAAACGGUAGCUAAUACCGCAUAACGUCGCAAGACCAAAGAGGGGGACCUUCGGGCCUCUUGCCAUCGGAUGUGCCCAGAUGGGAUUAGCCAGUAGGUGGGGUAACGGCUCACCUAGGCGACGAUCCCUAGCUGGUCUGAGAGGAUGACCAGCCACACUGGAACUGAGACACGGUCCAG
RNAcentral lists this ribosomal RNA (234 nucleotides) under uncultured bacterium. RNAcentral's name for it is "partial 16S ribosomal RNA". It matches the Rfam family "Bacterial small subunit ribosomal RNA", at positions 100 to 334 of the family's 1533-position model. The record is from RNAcentral.